UAAGACGUAGGGCGCGAGCGUUGUCCGGAUUUAUUGGGCGUAAAGAGCUCGUAGGCGGCUUGUCGCGUCGACUGUGAAAACUCGGGGCUCAACUCCGAGCUUGCAGUCGAUACGGGCAGGCUAGAGUUCGGUAGGGGAGACUGGAAUUCCUGGUGUAGCGGUGAAAUGCGCAGAUAUCAGGAGGAACACCGAUGGCGAAGGCAGGUCUCUGGGCCGAUACUGACGCUGAGGAGCGAAAGCGUGGGGAGCGAACAGGAUUAGAUACCCUGGUAGUCCACGCUGUAAACGUUGGGCGCUAGGUGUGGGGGACCUCUCCGGUUUUCUGCGCCGCAGCUAACGCAUUAAGCGCCCCGCCUGGGGAGUACGGCCGCAAGGCUA
RNAcentral lists this ribosomal RNA (378 nucleotides) under uncultured bacterium. Its description in RNAcentral is "bacterial SSU rRNA". It matches the Rfam family "Bacterial small subunit ribosomal RNA", at positions 521 to 896 of the family's 1533-position model. The record is from RNAcentral.